This 436-nucleotide ribosomal RNA is filed under the name Babesia sp. RNAcentral describes it as "SSU rRNA". It matches the Rfam family "Eukaryotic small subunit ribosomal RNA", at positions 549 to 1025 of the family's 1831-position model. The record is from RNAcentral. Lineage: Eukaryota; Apicomplexa; Aconoidasida; Piroplasmida; Babesiidae.
UGGAGGGCAAGUCUGGUGCCAGCAGCCGCGGUAAUUCCAGCUCCAAUAGCGUAUAUUAAAGUUGUUGCAGUUAAGAAGCUCGUAGUUGAAUUUCUGCCCCGCCUUUGGACUCGCUUCGGGCGUUUCCAUCCGGCCCGGCUUUCGGAGUCGCCUCGGCCUCUCCGUUUACUUUGAGAAAACUAGAGUGUUUCAAACAGGCCCUUGCCUUGAAUACUACAGCAUGGAAUAAUAAAGUAGGACUUUGGUUCUAUUUUGUUGGUUUUUGAGCCAUAGUAAUGGUUAAUAGGAGCAGUUGGGGGCAUUCGUAUUUAACUGUCAGAGGUGAAAUUCUUAGAUUUGUUAAAGACGAACUACUGCGAAAGCAUUUGCCAAGGAUGUUUUCAUUAAUCAAGAACGAAAGUUAGGGGAUCGAAGACGAUCAGAUACCGUCGUAGUC